This 495-nucleotide ribosomal RNA is filed under the name uncultured bacterium. RNAcentral's name for it is "partial 16S ribosomal RNA". It matches the Rfam family "Bacterial small subunit ribosomal RNA", at positions 28 to 507 of the family's 1533-position model. The record is from RNAcentral.
GACGAACGCUGGCGGCGUGCCUAAUACAUGCAAGUAGAACGCUGAAGGAGGAGCUUGCUUCUCUGGAUGAGUUGCGAACGGGUGAGUAACGCGUAGGUAACCUGCCUGGUAGCGGGGGAUAACUAUUGGAAACGAUAGCUAAUACCGCAUAAUAGCAGUUAUUGCAUGAUAACUGUUUGAAAGGUGCAAUUGCACCUCUACCAGAUGGACCUGCGUUGUAUUAGCUAGUUGGUGGGGUAACGGCUCACCAAGGCGACGAUACAUAGCCGACCUGAGAGGGUGAUCGGCCACACUGGGACUGAGACACGGCCCAGACUCCUACGGGAGGCAGCAGUAGGGAAUCUUCGGCAAUGGACGGAAGUCUGACCGAGCAACGCCGCGUGAGUGAAGAAGGUUUUCGGAUCGUAAAGCUCUGUUGUAAGAGAAGAACGAGUGUGAGAGUGGAAAGUUCACACUGUGACGGUAUCUUACCAGAAAGGGACGGCUAACUACGUG